GUUAGGAAUAUUGGACAAUGGGCGCAAGCCUGAUCCAGCCAUGCCGCGUGAGUGAUGAAGGCCUUCGGGUUGUAAAGCUCUUUAGUCCACGAAUAUAAUGACUGUAGUGGAAGAAUAAGCCCCGGCUAACUUCGUGCCAGCAGCCGCGGUAAUACGAAGGGGGCGAGCGUUAUUUGGAAUCACUGGGCGUAAAGCGUGCGUAGGCUGUUUUGUAAGUCAGAAGUGAAAGCCCAGGGCUUAACCCUGGAAUUGCUUUUGAAACUACAAGACUCGAAUUCGGGAGAGGAUAGCGGAAUUGUCAGUGUAGCAGUGAAAUGCGUAGAUAUUGACAGGAACACCAGUGGCGCAAGCGGCUAUCUGGACCGAUAUUGACGCUGAGGCACGAAAGCGUGGGGAGCAAACAGGAUUAGAUACCCCGGUAGUCC
This 425-nucleotide ribosomal RNA is filed under the name uncultured bacterium. RNAcentral describes it as "partial 16S ribosomal RNA". It matches the Rfam family "Bacterial small subunit ribosomal RNA", at positions 354 to 796 of the family's 1533-position model. The record is from RNAcentral.